ACCCAAUAGAUACCCGGGUAGUCCACGCUGUAAACGAUGGGUGCUAGAUGUCGGGGAGCUUGCUCUUCGGUGUCGUAGCUAAACGCGUUAAGCACCCCGCCUGGGGAGUACGGCCGCAAGGUUAAAACUCAAAGGAAUUGACGGGGGCCCGCACAAGCGGUGGAGCAUGUGGUUUAAUUCGAAAGCAACGCGCAGAACCUUACCAGCCCUUGACAUGGGCGUCGCGUCCCGGGGAGACCUGGGACUUCAGUUCGGCUGGACGCCACACAGGUGCUGCAUGGCUGUCGUCAGCUCGUGCCGUGAGAUGUUGGGUUAAGUCCCGCAACGAGCGCAACCCUCGUCUUCAGUUGCCAUCGGGUAGGGCCGGGCACUCUGAAGAAACUGCCGGUGACAAGCCGGAGGAAGGUGGGGAUGACGUCAAGUCCUCAUGGCCCUUACGGGCUGGGCUACACACGUGCUACAAUGGCGGUGACAGUGGGUUGCGAUCCCGCAAGGGGUAGCUAAUCCCCAAAAGCCGUCUCAGUUCGGAUUGCAGUCUGCAACUC
This 545-nucleotide ribosomal RNA is filed under the name uncultured bacterium. RNAcentral describes it as "bacterial SSU rRNA". It matches the Rfam family "Bacterial small subunit ribosomal RNA", at positions 772 to 1313 of the family's 1533-position model. The record is from RNAcentral.